Molecule: ribosomal RNA, 444 nt
Filed under: uncultured bacterium
Lineage: Bacteria
Description: SSU rRNA
Rfam family: Bacterial small subunit ribosomal RNA
Source: RNAcentral
AGAGCGAACGCUGGCGGCAGGCUUAACACAUGCAAGUCGAGCGCCCCGCAAGGGGAGCGGCAGACGGGAGAGUAACACGUGGGAACGUACCUUUCGGUUCGGAACAACCCAGGGAAACUUGGGCUAAUACCGGAUACGUCCGUAAGGAGAAAGAUUUAUCGCCGAAAGAUCGGCCCGCGUCUGAUUAGCUAGUUGGUGAGGUAACGGCUCACCAAGGCGACGAUCAGUAGCUGGUCUGAGAGGAUGAUCAGCCUCACUGGGACUGAGACACGGCCCAGACUCCUACGGGAGGCAGCAAUGGGGAAUAUUGGACAAUGGGCGCAAGCCUGAUCCAGCCAUGCCGCGUGGGUGAUGAAGGCCCUAGGGUUGUAAAGCCCUUUCGGCGGGGAAGAUAAUGACGGUACCCGCAGAAGAAGCCCCGGCUAACUUCGUGCCAGCAGCCGC